Molecule: long non-coding RNA, 2182 nt
Organism: Bos taurus (domestic cattle)
Lineage: Eukaryota; Metazoa; Chordata; Mammalia; Artiodactyla; Bovidae
Source: Ensembl
AGACUAAUGAACCAGCUGGCUUCCUUUCUGAAGUGAUUUCUGCUGUUUCCAAUACUGAACAAUAGCGCAGCGGGAUUUGAAAGGGAGAAGGAAGAACAUUCAGCUGGGGAGAAGGGACAUCCUCCAAGUUAGCCAGCUGAUGGGUUGGCUGUACUGGGGAAGGGAUGCAUAGAGUGCAGUGGAUUGUGCUGUGCUGCCGAGCAGGAAUGACCCACGGGCAGGGGACCCAGGAGUUGUCUUCCAACAUGUGAUGUGGUGGAGUGGCAGACGAAAAGAGAUGAGAGAGAAGACGGGAUCAGGCCUGGAACAGCGUUGCAGGCCAGGCAUAAGAGUUUGGAUUUUUAUCCUGAAGACAAUGGGGAUUUUUAACAUGGAACGUACGAGAUCAACUUUUGCCGUUACAAAGAUCACUUUGAUAAAGUGUGGGCAGCAGAUGAGAGAUGGGCUGAGGAGCUGAAGGUGAUCAGCUGACUGAACACUCCAGGCAAGAGACUGUAUACUCUGUUUGAGGCCUGGCACCUUUUAAACCUUGAAUCAUCUCCCACGGUGCCUUUGUGUAGCAGCUUGUUUGUGUAUAUUUGGUACUACAUGAUGGAAAAGAAAAAUUUUAAAGGCCUGUGAGAUUGACCACCAGAUCUCUGAUGAUCUUGGGAGAGUGUUUUCCCAUGGUGUGUUGGGGCAGAUGUCAGACUCCAGUGGUACAUGGAAUGGGGGAUGAAGGAAAAGCAAACCAGGAGCUGAAUCUACAAUCCGGGCUGCCUCACUUUCCACUAGCCCAUCUUCUCCUUCUUCGUUUGGAAGGCAGUGAAGCACCAUGACUGUGGAAGAUGCAGACCCAACUGGCUCUCUGGCUCAGCUUCUGGGAGCUGACCCUGGGCUUUCGAGGACAAUGCCAGCAGCUGGGACAGAGGUGAAGUCACUGUCACCAAGCCAUCAUCUGUCAAGGCUCCCCAGCCCCAUCCUGAGCUUACACGGCCCCCUGACCCGCCAGUCCUUAUUGCUGAGGCCAAGGGGAAGGAGAGAGAGAGACCUGGGCUAAAGGCUGGUGGGAGACACAGUCAGAAGAGAGAGAAGUGGAGCAGCAAAACCUGCUGAGGAGACCUGGCAGGGAGGCUGUCAGCCUGUUCAUCUUCAUGCUCGGGGCUGAGGCUGUGGCGGAAGGCACCACCCGGACUGUCAUUUGGACAAAUGCAUCUGUCAAACCCUGCAGGCACCAGUUCUGGCUUUCAGGGGCUCUGAUCCCAUUCCCUGCUGGCCCUUGUCCUCUGCCCCCACAGUGAGAUUGGCCUGUGUAUGUGUGGUGUGUGAUGUUUCCACAUUAAAGGAGCAGAAAGACGGAAGCCCUGGUGUCCAUCUGUAGCAGGAGCUCAGCCCAGGACUGUGUCCUCUCUCUCUCUCUCCCUGUAGCUGCUCUGAAGUCCUCUCCCCCAGACUGCUGGCAAAGCUGCAGAGCUUCUGACUCAGUGACAUUUUAUAAGAUCACUGUGUUCUUUCUUCAGAGCCAUUUGAGAUGGAAGUGGGAACAGGAAGCCCACUAUCUCAGAGGACAGGACCAAGGAUGGUGCUCCCCAACUGACGGAGGGCUGCAGGGAGUCAGAGCCCUGGGGGAGUGGUGGUAGGAGCCAACACCCUUGUGUUCCAGCCUGGCAUCAGGUACUAUCACGUGUUAUCUUUUCUUUUAACCCCCUCAAUUAUACCACGACGUGGGUAAAAUUACCCCCAUUUACAGGGAGAGGAAGUUGAAGCUGAGAGAGAGAAAGGUGAUUUACCUAAGGUCAUUCAGUGACUAGGAGGCCUCAAUAAUCUUUAACACCAGUCUUUUCCAAUUCUCCAUGUUGACUCUUCCUGUAUGCCUUGCAGCCUCCAAGCUUUCCCAUGAACCAGAGUUCCCAGGACACAUCACUGGUUUAUAAGGCAGUAUCGAAUGGCAUGAACUUAGUGGGGCUUACACAUGUACGGUGGUCAUCAUGCCUGUCUAAAUCUAGGCUCUGUCAGAAAUUCUCCUGGAAAGAUGGAUGAACACCAGGCUGAAUUGGCCGCCUCCAUGCCUAUGGGCAUGGAUGAGUGUUACACACAUAAUCAGACAGACACACACCCCUACCAAAGAAUCUCGGAGCUGGAGAAGAAUUGGUUGAUCAUUUAAUCCAAAUCCCUGACUCAUCAAAGUUCUAGUCACUAGACA